AUUUUGAAAACAAUUUCAAAACUACAAAACAUCUGGAAGAAUAAGUCAAAGAACUCCUAUAUACUUUUAACCCAGAUCAACACACAGAUCUGGUGUUGUUGCAGCUGCAGCUCAAAUUCAACCUCUGGCCUGGGAACUUCCAUAUGCUGUGGGUGCAGCCAUAAAAAAAGAAAAGAAAAGAAACAAACUCACAGAUUUUGAAAUCAAAUUUAGGGUUACCAAAAGGGAGAUGGGGGCUAGGAUAAAUUAAGAAGUUGGGAUUUAAUAUACACAAACUACCAUAUAUAAAAUAGUCAACAAUGGAGUUUCCAUCGUGGCUCAAUGGUUAACGAAUCUGACUAGCAUCCACGAGCACACAGGUCCGAUCCCUGGCCUUGCUCAGUGGGUUAAGGAUCCAGCAUUGCCAUGAAUUGUGGUCUAGGUUGCAGACACGGCUUGGAUCUUGCGUUGCUGUGGCUGUGGUGUAGGCUGGCAGCUACAGCUCCAAUUUGACCCCUAGCCUGGGAACCUCCAUAUGCCAUGGGUGUGGCCCUAAAAAGCAAAAAAAAAAAGUGACUGGGUGAGAAGGUGAAGGAGAUCAGGGGUCAUGUGAAAGAACCAGGGUGAGACAGCCUCUGGGGGCUACAAGUCUUCAAAGCGUAACUUGGUGUGACAGCAGCUGAAGUUUAUCUCAGACCAUGGGAGCCAGAAGGAAACUUCAUACUCUCAGAACCUCUCUAUUUUAGGAGGAGAAAAACUUUGUGAUUCCUAGAACAGAAAAGAGGUGAAAGCAGAUGGAGCAGGUGAAGUAGGGAUGGUUCCCACGGACACCACCCUCACCCCAGGUUUGCUGCUGCCCUCCCUCACAUCUUUGCAGAACCCACCAGGGCCUCACUCCUCACCUCAAGAAACUGAGGCCCAGAAGCAAGUGACAAGUGACAAGGGGGCCCACUUCUCCAAGGGGAUUGGAGCCAGGACUUCAAACUCCCAGCCCCAGAAUCCUUUGAAGCUUUUCUGGGAAAUAACAGCUUUGAAUAGAGUGGGGAAAGCAGGGGAAGGGAAGGCAGUGCAGCUCAGAAAACCACAAAGCCUCCCCUUUCCAGGACUCAGUGGUCCCAUCUGUGCAAAGGGGAGUGUUGGCCAAGAUGACCUUGGAGACACUGUCUGUUCUGGUCCCUGAGGCCAUCACCCCACCUCAGCCUAAGGAGACCCCCAUCCCAGAGCCCCAGAUCUCAGGCUUUGUCCCUCCAAAUUCUACCCCCGUUCUUGGGGUGAGGAGUAGGUGCCCCAGAGCUGCCAGUGAAUGAAGCCCAAGGCUGAGCACCAAGCAGAGGCCAUGCAGUCUGGCGGCCAGAGGCUGAUGUGAUCCAGUCUAGCAGCUCACAAUAUUUUUAAGCCACUGUGCGCCUGCCACUGGGCUGGAAGCAGAUCAGAGAAAAACAAAAAUGGAAUGACCCUGCUUAGCCUGACAACACCACCAAAGGGAAGGAAAGACUUUGAGAAAAAGCUAAACAGCCUCUUAUUUUUUUUUUU
RNAcentral lists this long non-coding RNA (1512 nucleotides) under Sus scrofa (pig). RNAcentral's name for it is "lncRNA (ENSSSCG00025029421.1)". Lineage: Eukaryota; Metazoa; Chordata; Mammalia; Artiodactyla; Suidae. The record is from RNAcentral.